AUCCCAGUUCGGAUUGCAGGCUGAAACCCGCCUGUAUGAAGUUGGAAUCGCUAGUAAUCGCGGAUCAGCAUGCCGCGGUGAAUACGUUCCCGGGCCUUGUACACACCGCCCGUCACACCAUGAGAGUCGGGAACACCCGAAGUCCGUAGCCUAACCGCAAGGGGGGCGCGGCCGAAGGUGGGUUCGAUAAUUGGGGUGAAGUCGUAACAAGGUAUC
Molecule: ribosomal RNA, 216 nt
Filed under: uncultured bacterium
Lineage: Bacteria
Description: partial 16S ribosomal RNA
Rfam family: Bacterial small subunit ribosomal RNA
Source: RNAcentral